This 2234-nucleotide long non-coding RNA is filed under the name Marmota monax (woodchuck). The record is from RNAcentral. Lineage: Eukaryota; Metazoa; Chordata; Mammalia; Rodentia; Sciuridae.
CUUUUAUACAUGAGGUGUUCUGGAGUGGGUAGCAACUGGGCCAGUGGCCCUUGGCCAUGGGCCUGGAACAAAGGCCACUAGGCCACAUUCUGAAGUGGAGACCUGUAUCUACAGCCUCUCACGGGCUCUUCUGGAGCCAGGAAUCCUGUUGGUGCUCACUAAAAUGUUCCCUUGUUCUCAUGAAAAAUAGCUCCAAGAAGUGAUAAAUGUAGACUUCAGAUGUUUUCCCAGCUACCCAGAAGUGAGGCUUGACCUUGAGUCUGUGGAUAUUUCUAGAUUGUGUAAUGCAAUUCCACCUGGAAUUUGUAUAGUCAUUUUUUCCUUUUCUUUUUGAAACCCUGUCACAUCAACCCAUUCAGUGCCAGCAGCUUUUCUGCAGGGUGGAUCAGCCAAAGGCUUCUUUUCCUAUUUUCUGGAUGGUGAACUGAGGCCUCGUGAAGUAAAGGACUGGAUGGAGACCACUCAGCAAGUCCAAAAAGCCUGGGAACCAUGGAAUAGUCCCUAUAGACAGCCCCCGAUCCCCAAGGAACCAUGUCUCUUAGCGAUGGAUGGGGUCUAAUUUUUGGAUAAUUCUUUGUCUCAUCUAGGUAGUUGGUGCCUGGAAUAAAAGUGUGAGCUCUAAACAGAGAGCCUGGCCGCCUGGAGACACCAUAUAGGGCUGCACCUUUGAGCUGCUCAUUAGCAUAACCACAGUUUGGUCCACAGCCCUCUGCUGCAGGGAACCUGGCAGCUUCCACAGUCUGAUAGCUUGAGUCAUGCAAAUUGCUAGAUUUGGUUUUAAUUUAUUUGCAGAUGAAUAUCCUUCCCCAGAGGCAGGAGGAGGGGGGAGCACAUAGUCUCUUUUUAAUUAUUUGGGGCAUUAUUUCCAAAGCCCUCUGAGCCCAGGCUGAGACUGAGGGUGAUUUUGAUUCUUCAGUGAAUCCCUUCCCAACUGCUCUUUCUCAAUAACCUGCCCAAUAAAUCGUCCAGGGCCCUGACUGAGCCCAACAGCCUCCUCCUGCCCACCAAUGCACCUCUCUCCCCCUUUCUCUUAUGGCCCUCUGACUCCAGCCUCAGCUAGCAGAGCUAUGGUCAGCCCCACUGCACACAGUCCCAGGUGGGGCAGAGGACAGGGGCUGGCAGGCAGGCCCUGUCGAGUAGAAGCUUCCUGAUUGCGCAUGUCAGCCAGUGUGGAAGGUUAGGUCAGCUCAUAUCAUUCCUCUGUUCAAGCCCCUUCAAUGGCUCCCGCCUCACUCAGAGUAAGAGCUGUGGGCCUUAUAAUGGCCUACAGGGCCAUCUCUUACACACACCGCUCUCUCCUUUCUUCACUUUGCUCCCAGGAACCGGCCUCCUUACUGUUUCUAGAACCUGCCAGAUACUCGUCCAUCUCAAGGCCCUUGCACUGGCUAUGGCCCCUGCUCUGAAGGCACUUUACCAGAGACCUGCUUAGCUCACUCUUGCUUCCUGCCUCAAAUGCCACCUCAUCGAAACCCUCCUUGGUCAUGCUGGUGCACCCCAACAUGUCCCACUGUACCCCGAAGCAUUUCCCUUGCAGAAGGACAGCUGCCUUGCAGGAAGAGUCUUCUAUCUCCCCCUCCCCCAGCUGGGACAGCUCACAGCCACUGGCCGAGGGACACUGUUGCGGAGGUGUUGUGAGGUGGGUUCUGCUCUGUUGAUUCUCGUCAGUGUGAGUAAGUUGGCAUUCUAAUGAUGACUGAUGUGAAUAUGUUUUGACAGCACUAACUCCAUGUUGAGCUUGUAACACCAGCUGUAACUGAGCCAAAUGGCAGGCCAAUAGUCACCUGGACAACUGGCUGACUGAUGGAUUUGUUGACAACUGCCCGUCAAUAUGCAAAUCGGAUGGUUGGUGUCUGGGCUGUCCCUCCAAAACUGACAUCAGGAAGCUGAGAUAAUGUACCUACUGGGACCAUAAAUAAAUACAAGUGUCUUCAGCUUGCCAUUUGACAUACAGCUCACUGUGACUCCACUCUGGGAGUGUUCCCUCUGCAAAACCAAUGGCCCCUGUCCCAGUGGAUAGUUCUUUGAGUGUAUCCGUGGCAGCUUGCUAGCAUCCUGGACCCGUGUGAAUGUCCCCUUGAAAGGACUGGUCCCCUGGACCCUUUGGACAAGUGGCAUGGUGUCUGGUUCCUUCCUAGCACUCUACACUUGAGUGAUUUUUUUAAACCUCUUUUUGCCUAUAUUUUCAUAAACUCCUUGUGCCUCAUUCCUUUUUUCCAUGCAUCGCAAUAAACCAU